Molecule: ribosomal RNA, 490 nt
Filed under: uncultured bacterium
Lineage: Bacteria
Description: partial 16S ribosomal RNA
Rfam family: Bacterial small subunit ribosomal RNA
Source: RNAcentral
AUUGAACGCUGGCGGCAGGCCUAACACAUGCAAGUCGAACGGUAACAGGCAACAGCUUGCUGUUUCGCUGACGAGUGGCGGACGGGUGAGAAAUGUCUGGGCAACCGCCUGAUGGGGGGGGACAACUACUGGAAACGGUAACUAAUACCGCGUAACGUCGCAAGACCAGAGAGGGGGGGCCUGUGGCCUCUUUCCAUCGUGGGUGCCCAGCUGGGUAUCGCUUGUUGGGGGGGUAAGGGUUCACCGAGGUGACGAGCCCUACCUGGUGUGAGGGGAGGAGCGGCGACACGGGAAGGGGGACACGGUCCAGGGUACUACGGGAGGCAGCAGUGGGGAAUAUUGCACAAUGGGGGCAAACCUGAUGCAGCGAUGCCGAGUGUAUGAAGAAGGCCUUCGGGUUGUAAAGUACUUUCAGCGGGGAGGAAGGGAGUAAAGUUAAGACGUUGGCUCAUUGACGUUACCCGCAGAAGAAGCACCGGCUAACUACGUG